AACGCUAGCUACAGGCUUAACACAUGCAAGUCGAGGGGCAGCAUGGUCUUAGCUUGCUAAGGCCGAUGGCGACCGGCGCACGGGUGAGUAACACGUAUCCAACCUGCCGUCUACUCUUGGACAGCCUUCUGAAAGGAAGAUUAAUACAAGAUGGCAUCAUGAGUCCGCAUGUUCACAUGAUUAAAGGUAUUCCGGUAGACGAUGGGGAUGCGUUCCAUUAGAUAGUAGGCGGGGUAACGGCCCACCUAGUCUUCGAUGGAUAGGGGUUCUGAGAGGAAGGUCCCCCACAUUGGAACUGAGACACGGUCCAAACUCCUACGGGAGGCAGCAGUGAGGAAUAUUGGUCAAUGGACGAGAGUCUGAACCAGCCAAGUANCGUGAAGGAUGACUGCCCUAUGGGUUGAAACUUCUUUUAUACGGGAAUAAAGUGAGGCACGUGUGCCUUUUUGUAUGUACCGUAUGAAUAAGGAUCGGCUAACUCCGUGCCAGCAGCCGCGGUAAUACGGAGGAUCCGAGCGUUAUCCGGAUUUAUUGGGUUUAAAGGGAGCGUAGGCGGACGCUUAAGUCAGUUGUGAAAGUUUGCGGCUCAACCGUAAAAUUGCAGUUGAUACUGGGUGUCUUGAGUACAGUAGAGGCAGGCGGAAUUCGUGGUGUAGCGGUGAAAUGCUUAGAUAUCACGAAGAACUCCGAUUG
RNAcentral lists this ribosomal RNA (693 nucleotides) under uncultured Bacteroidales bacterium. Its description in RNAcentral is "bacterial SSU rRNA". It matches the Rfam family "Bacterial small subunit ribosomal RNA", at positions 32 to 715 of the family's 1533-position model. The record is from RNAcentral. Lineage: Bacteria; Pseudomonadati; Bacteroidota; Bacteroidia; Bacteroidales.